This 468-nucleotide ribosomal RNA is filed under the name uncultured bacterium. RNAcentral's name for it is "partial 16S ribosomal RNA". It matches the Rfam family "Bacterial small subunit ribosomal RNA", at positions 28 to 507 of the family's 1533-position model. The record is from RNAcentral.
GACGAACGCUGGCGGCGUGCUUAACACAUGCAAGUCGAACGGAAAGGCCCUGCUUUUGUGGGGUGCUCGAGUGGCGAACGGGUGAGUAACACGUGAGUAACCUGCCCUUGACUUUGGGAUAACUUCAGGAAACUGGGGCUAAUACCGGAUAGGAGCUCCUGCUGCAUGGUGGGGGUUGGAAAGUUUCGGCGGGUGGGGAUGGACUCGCGGCUUAUCAGCUUGUUGGUGGGGUAGUGGCUUACCAAGGCUUUGACGGGUAGCCGGCCUGAGAGGGUGACCGGCCACAUUGGGACUGAGAUACGGCCCAGACUGCUACGGGAGGCAGCAGUGGGGAAUAUUGCACAGUGGGCGGAAGCCUGAUGCAGCAACGCCGCGUGCGGGAUGACGGCCUUCGGGUUGUAAACCGCUUUCGCCUGUGACGAAGCGUGAGUGACGGUAAUGGGUAAAGAAGCACCGGCUAACUACGUG